RNAcentral lists this ribosomal RNA (253 nucleotides) under uncultured bacterium. Its description in RNAcentral is "partial 16S ribosomal RNA". It matches the Rfam family "Bacterial small subunit ribosomal RNA", at positions 524 to 776 of the family's 1533-position model. The record is from RNAcentral.
UACGUAGGGGGCAAGCGUUGUCCGGAUUUAUUGGGCGUAAAGAGCGUGUAGGCGGCCAGACAGGUCCGUUGUGAAAACUCGAGGCUCAACCUCGAGAUGUCGAUGGAAACCGUCUGGCUAGAGUCCGGAAGAGGAGUGUGGAAUUCCUGGUGUAGCGGUGAAAUGCGCAGAUAUCAGGAAGAACACCGAUGGCGAAGGCAGUUCUCUGGGCCGUAACUGACGCUGAGGAGCGAAAGCGUGGGGAGCGAACAGG